UGGGAAGUGGCUUAGUGGUAGAGCGCUUGCCUUGCAUGCAUGAGGCCCUGGGUUUGCUUUCUUAGCACCACAA
Dipodomys ordii (Ord's kangaroo rat) is the source of this 73-nucleotide non-coding RNA. The record is from Rfam. Lineage: Eukaryota; Metazoa; Chordata; Mammalia; Rodentia; Heteromyidae.